GAUAAGAACGUAGCGAAAUGCGAUACGUAAUGUGAAUUGCAGAAUUCAGUGAAUCAUCGAGUCUUUGAACGCACAUUGCGCCCCCUGGUAUUCCGGGGGGCAUGCCUGUCCGAGCGUCAUUGCUGCCCUCAAGCACGGCUUGUGUGUUGGGCCUCCGUCCUCCUCCCGGGGGACGGGCCCGAAAGGCAGCGGCGGCACCGCGUCCGGUCCUCGAGCGUAUGGGGCUUCGUCACCCGCUCUUGUAGGCCCGGCCGGCGCUUGCCGACACAUCAAUCUUUUUUCCAGGUUGACCUCGGAUCAGGUAGGGAUACCCGCUGAACUUAAGCAUAUCCAAUAAGCGGAGGA
Molecule: unclassified non-coding RNA, 345 nt
Filed under: soil metagenome
Description: partial contains 5.8S ribosomal RNA, internal transcribed spacer 2, and large subunit ribosomal RNA
Rfam family: 5.8S ribosomal RNA (bases 4-119)
Source: RNAcentral